CGGGUCCUAGUGAAUGUCAUGAGCUCACCAUGCUGCAACCGUGGUGGCGGUGACGCUCAUCCUCGUGGACGACCUCUUAGUUAUUGAAGCAAGGGAGCAUAGGAUGCUGAUGUCUUAAAGGGAGCAUAGGAUGCUGAUGUCUUAUGAGGGAGCAUAGGAUGCUGAUGUCUUAUUCAUGACUAUUGGGUGGCCGUCUUCGACUUUCUAGGUGUUUGCUGUUGCAUGGUUGUGGCCCUCGUCCACCG
Non-coding RNA from Lolium perenne, 245 nucleotides. Lineage: Eukaryota; Viridiplantae; Streptophyta; Magnoliopsida; Poales; Poaceae. The record is from RefSeq and is a predicted model, not a curated record.